UACCAGUUUUGGCAUCCAGUGAUUUUCUAACGCCAUCAUACCUUCUAUAUUUAUUAGUUGGCAUUCUAAUGUGAGGAAGAGUUUUGUCUUUUUUAUUCAUUCAUUCAUUCAUGUAUAUCACUGAGGACUCAUGGAUUUUCAUUUUGUUUAUGAGUUAUGAUCUGUUAUUAUCUUUAUUUAUUUGGCUUCUGAAAUUAUAUCAGAUUUGCAGACUCCCAUGUAUUUUUGAUAUGCCCCCAUCACUACAAUUUUCUUGCUUUCGGUGGGCUGAAAGUUCUUACUGCUUAACAAGAUGUUCCAGGCUAUCUUAGACUUUCCCUGCCCUAGCCCUAGAAUGUUUCCUUUUUCCAAGGAGCCUUGCUUCCAAGGAAAGGAUGGUAUUUAGAAACCAAGGUCUGGCCACUAGGUGAGCUCAUUGCUUCUGAUAUGUGCUCAUUGCUAAUAUGUUGCAGACAGAGCUAGGAAAAAAAUAAACAAAUAUACACACAUACUAUAUUUUAUUUAUUUCUUACCUAUCUACUUAUUAUAUUAAAAACAAUGAAUUCUUACUGAUACCUCCAAUUUCAAUCCACAUCUCAAGGUACAUUUUUUUUUUCUGCUUCUUUUCUCUGUUAGGUGUUUCCUUCUCCAAAAGUGAAGAACCAGGCUUCCUUACUCUUUAAGCAUAUGCUCAAGCCAAGUUCUAACCUCUUCACUCCUUUCUGCAGGUUCCAGUAUCUUUCCCUUUAGGCUGAAGAACUUCCAUUAGCACUUUGUGUAGUGUGGGUCUGAUGCUGACAAAUUCUCUCAUUUUUAGUUUAUCUGAAAAUGCCUUUAUUUUGCUGUAUUCUUAAAAGAUAUUAGUUAAUAGUAGUUUCUUUCAACACUUUAAAAGAGUUUUCCCACAUUUUUCCUGUCUUCAUUUUUCUCAUGAGAAGUCAGCUAUACUUUGUGUUUGCACCUCCUGUGGUGCUGUAUUUCAUUUUCACACCAUGUGUAUAAGUUUAAGGUUUUCAACAACUUUGAGAAAUUUUUGGUUUAAUUUUAAAUAUUUUAUUUUUAAUUGUAUUUAUUUAAAUAAAAUAUUUAAUUUUAAAUAUUUUCUGCUCCAUUCUCUUUCUUCUUUUCGGGACUUCAAUUACGUAUAUGUUAGAUCACUUGAUAUUGUCCCAGAAAACACUGAGGCUCUGUUAACUUUUUAUAGGU
This 1185-nucleotide long non-coding RNA is filed under the name Equus caballus (horse). RNAcentral describes it as "lncRNA (ENSECAG00000051496.1)". Lineage: Eukaryota; Metazoa; Chordata; Mammalia; Perissodactyla; Equidae. The record is from RNAcentral.